GCCUGCCUAGCUCAAUCGGAUAGAGCGUCAGACUCUUACGUCUCGCAUGUCCGUGGUUUGUGCUUGUCGGGUAAUCUGAAGGCUGCGAGUUCGACCCUCGCGGUGGGCU
Lentinula aff. lateritia is the source of this 109-nucleotide non-coding RNA. NCBI's taxonomy places the organism in Eukaryota, Fungi, Basidiomycota, Agaricomycetes, Agaricales, Omphalotaceae. The record is from the annotation of a GenBank genome assembly.